This 431-nucleotide ribosomal RNA is filed under the name uncultured bacterium. RNAcentral's name for it is "bacterial SSU rRNA". It matches the Rfam family "Bacterial small subunit ribosomal RNA", at positions 28 to 486 of the family's 1533-position model. The record is from RNAcentral.
GAUGAACGCUGGCGGCGUGCCUAACACAUGCAAGUCGAGCGAUUCUCUUCGGAGAAGAGCGGCGGACGGGUGAGUAACGCGUGGGUAACCUGCCCUGUACACACGGAUAACAUACCGAAAGGUAUGCUAAUACGAGAUAAUAUGCUUUUAUCGCAUGGUAGAAGUAUCAAAGCUUUUGCGGUACAGGAUGGACCCGCGUCUGAUUAGCUAGUUGGUAAGGUAACGGCUUACCAAGGCGACGAUCAGUAGCCGACCUGAGAGGGUGAUCGGCCACAUUGGAACUGAGACACGGUCCAAACUCCUACGGGAGGCAGCAGUGGGGAAUAUUGCACAAUGGGCGAAAGCCUGAUGCAGCAACGCCGCGUGAGCGAUGAAGGCCUUCGGGUCGUAAAGCUCUGUCCUCAAGGAAGAUAAUGACGGUACUUGAGGAG